GUCUACGGCCGUGCACCCUGAACGUGCCCAAUCUCAUCUGAUCUCAGAAGCUAAGCCAGGGUUAGGCCUGGUUAGUACCUGGAUGGAAGACCAUCUAGGAAUACCAGAUGCUGUAGGAU
This 119-nucleotide ribosomal RNA is filed under the name Pteropus alecto (black flying fox). Lineage: Eukaryota; Metazoa; Chordata; Mammalia; Chiroptera; Pteropodidae. The record is from RNAcentral.